RNAcentral lists this long non-coding RNA (249 nucleotides) under Elaeis guineensis (African oil palm). RNAcentral describes it as "long non-coding RNA (EGUI_LNC017750)". Lineage: Eukaryota; Viridiplantae; Streptophyta; Magnoliopsida; Arecales; Arecaceae. The record is from RNAcentral.
AAAAUUAUAAAUCUAGACUUAUGGGUCUAUAAAAUGUAUCACCUUAGAUUAAUCAAUAAUUGCGAGAUGUCUAGACCAGCAACUAGUCUGUAGCUCGCUGUCAGGCCUUAGACCUAUAUUAAAUAUCAGUAAUUAAACUAACCACUCUACUAUUAAAUUCAUUAGCUAAAGUAAAUUAACCAUUCGGUGUAUGUCCAUACAUGAAACAAAGUCAAAGACAAGCAAAUUACUUCAGUACAUCAUAGGGGA